Molecule: transfer RNA, 77 nt
Filed under: Sphingobacterium spiritivorum
Lineage: Bacteria; Pseudomonadati; Bacteroidota; Sphingobacteriia; Sphingobacteriales; Sphingobacteriaceae
Description: tRNA-???(tg)
Rfam family: tRNA
About the family: Transfer RNA (tRNA) molecules are approximately 80 nucleotides in length.
Source: RNAcentral
AGGAAAUUAGCGAAUGGGCUAGAGCAUCCGAUUUGAAUCGGAAGUGUUCAACGGUUCGACUCCGUUAUUCUCCACCA